AUGUGGUACAUAUGAAAUUUGAAGCGAAUCAAUUUUUUAGUAUGUUUUUAUAUAUUUUAAGUUGCUAAUUAUUUGUAUUUAGAGUAUGUUUUACGUAAAUAUAUUAGAAAUCACAAUAAUUAAUAAGUUAAUAUAAAAAAGAACUUAUAAAAAAUUCAUUGACUUUUGAAAUUUCAUUUGUAUCACAUAA
Molecule: microRNA precursor, 190 nt
Filed under: Solanum tuberosum (potato)
Lineage: Eukaryota; Viridiplantae; Streptophyta; Magnoliopsida; Solanales; Solanaceae
Description: MIR7996 microRNA precursor family
Rfam family: MIR7996 microRNA precursor family
Source: Rfam by way of RNAcentral